AUGGCCAUUCCCGUUGCAAACUCUUCUAUCACGUCGCUCUCCCCAGGGGUGGCUUGGGAGGCGACGAUUCGGCCGCCCCUCUCCUCCACCUCCCUUCUCCUCCUCACCGUCGCCCGAGCGGCCGCCGGCAAAGCCGCGUGGCCGCAAGGAUGGCGGCGUCGGGGCUCUCCUUGUCUUCUCGCGCUCAGGCGGUCUAGGGAGCCGCCCGGAGCGGCGACGGCGGUGACCGCCAAAUCCGCGCCAUUUCGGCCGGAUCUGGCGGGGUGGCUGGCUACGGGGAAAGCGGUGGGGACGGGUGAUGGUGGCGGUCGAGGUGAGUUGCACCGGGUGGAGUUCGGGGAUGGCGACGACGAUAGGGCGGUGGUGGUGGAGGCGCGGAUCCGGCGGCGGCGCGACGGCUGGUGGUGGGCAGCGCACGCAGGCAUCCCGCGACUGCCACUGGCGUUCUCCGACGCUUCUUGGCGUCGGCCAACGUUGGUGGUGAGGAGGGCAGCCGGAUCUGGCUUCUUGCCCAAAUCCGGCGCAUCCUCGUGUGGGGACGGGGUGGAUUGGUGUUCGGUCAUCUGUGCAGGUGGUGUGAAUAUUGCAGGUACCCUCGGUGUGCAUGUGACAUUUGGUGGCUCCCGCCGUGGAUGCUAUGGUUGAUGGGUGCUCU
RNAcentral lists this long non-coding RNA (655 nucleotides) under Oryza sativa Indica Group (long-grained rice). RNAcentral describes it as "lncRNA OsZS97_02G025100". The record is from RNAcentral. Lineage: Eukaryota; Viridiplantae; Streptophyta; Magnoliopsida; Poales; Poaceae.